AGCGUAGCGAUACGUUGAGCUAACCGAUACUAAUGAACCGUGAGGCUUAACCUUACAACGCCGAAGGUGUUU
RNAcentral lists this ribosomal RNA (72 nucleotides) under Klebsiella aerogenes. RNAcentral describes it as "partial 23S ribosomal RNA". The record is from RNAcentral. Lineage: Bacteria; Pseudomonadati; Pseudomonadota; Gammaproteobacteria; Enterobacterales; Enterobacteriaceae.